Manis pentadactyla (Chinese pangolin) is the source of this 1872-nucleotide RNA transcript. It is a transcript of the gene named mitochondrial ribosomal protein S18C, with no coding region annotated. Lineage: Eukaryota; Metazoa; Chordata; Mammalia; Pholidota; Manidae. The record is from RefSeq and is a predicted model, not a curated record. The transcript is spliced from 8 exons.
CACCCACUCUGUGUUCUCCGCGUUCGCCAACGGAACCUUUGAAUGGAAUACUCGCGUCAACAGGGGAAGAGUACCGGAAGGGACUUGUCAGGACGCUUUGGAGAAAAGGAAGAGGAGGAGUGAGGAGCCAUGGCGACUGUGGCUGCUGUUUGCUGCCGUCUAGGAAGGAAAACGUUGACGCCCAUCGUAACGGCUCCUGUCUGCCUCACAGAGGCCGGGAUUCACGCGGUGCUGUGGAGACGUUAUUCACAAUAUAAACAAGUAACCAGCAAUGAGGACCUGCCCAUUACAAUGGAAAAUCCUUAUAAGGAACCUCUUAAGAAGUGUGUAUUAUGUGGAAAACGUGUAGAUUAUAAGAAUGUACAGCUUUUGUCCCAGUUUAUUUCUCCAUUUACUGGAUGCAUUUAUGGAAGACACAUAACAGGUCUUUGUGGGAAGAAACAAAGAGAAAUUACAAAAGCAAUUAAAAGAGCUCAAAUAAUGGGGUUUAUGCCAGUUACAUACAAGGAUCCUGCAUAUCUUAAAGACCCUAAAGUUUGUAACAUCAAGUAUCGGGAGUAAAGGUUAUCAUCAAUAAACUUACUUUACAUUCCUGGUUUAGCCUGUUGAUCUGUUGGUUAGUAAACUGGCUCCACACCUGAAGAGCAAGACCAGAGAGGCAGACUACUCCAGAUUGCGCAUUGCUAGCUGGACUAGGUUCAGGAAUGUCCGUGUAUUCCACCAUUAAGGUCAGGUUGUCUACCUCAUUGAGGUGAUGGCUGGUAUUACACCGACUUUUAGAAAUACGCCUAUUUUUCAAGGAGAUAACACAUGAAUGAAGAAAGUCACAAUCUGGAAAAAAUGUCUGUAAAGCUUGACAAAGAAAAAUGUUCUCCUGAGGGUCUUUUUGGACAACAGUCUUCUCUCCUAAGCAAAAUAAAAAGAAAAGUUCAACAUAAAAUAUUUGUUCUACAAAGCUUUUGUAAUAUCUAUUUGAUAAUAAAAGACUUAAAACAAUUCUUUCAAACUAUCUAAAUUGAGAAAAAUGGUGUGUAUAACCCCUAAUUUUAGUUUAUAUGCACAAUAUUCUAAGAGAAAAUUAAAAGUUGCAUAUUUUUAAUAAUGGAAUAGCAUAGCUCUAACAGUACCAUGUUCUUUGUUCCGGAGGAUUUAAAGGUAUUAAUAAAACACUGCUAAGGUGGACAAAUGCAUCAUUUAGUGCAGCUGGCUCAUCCAUAGGUCACAUCCGUGAGAAUUUUUUUUAAAGCACAGAAGGUAGUAAUGUGUGAACUUUACUUACGUGCUGCUUGAAUCUGUGCUUGUUUUCUUUUUUUAAUUUCUUGUCUCAGUCUGUUUACAUCUGUUAGUAGUUUCUCUACUGCUUGCUCACUGUGUUCUACUUGUUUGCAUAUAUCCUGCAAAAUAAAAUGAGGGCAUAGAUCAAGUUCCAAGUCGUGCACUAAAAUUCUUCACAGCAUAUAAUGUCAAAUAUUUGCCUUUUUAAAAUUUUUAUUUCCCUGUUUUCUUGAGGAACUUAACAAUAAGCAAUUGUAUGGUACUGCAUUAAAUAAUACAUGCUCUGCAGAUGUAUUCACUUCCCAUUUAUAGCUUUAUCAUACCAGUUAUUUCCUUGAUGAUACACAGAAAUAAAUGUUUAACCCACUUUGAAACAAAAUACUACCUACUUUGAAAUGCAUGCGUAUUUACUGCAUUUACCAUUAAGAAACUGACAACAAAUGAAAAAUAAAAGUGACUAUGUUUUACUGAUAUGAAAAAAACCUAUGAAAUUUUAAUUUCUGUUAAAACCUAUUACUGAAAAGCAGACUGGCUUUAUGUGUCACAUUUUAUGUACUAAUACCCUUUGAUUUAGUGAUUUCAUUUUGGAAAUAUAUC